UUACAUUGUUUGGGGUGCCUUUUAGGCUGAGAUAAUACCCAUGGAACCUGAUCAAGCUAAUACUUGCGAAGGAAAACAUUAGUCUUUUAUU
Molecule: non-coding RNA, 91 nt
Filed under: Apilactobacillus ozensis
Lineage: Bacteria; Bacillati; Bacillota; Bacilli; Lactobacillales; Lactobacillaceae
Also listed under: 1 other name
Description: Lactobacillus ozensis TPP sequence
Rfam family: TPP riboswitch aptamer (THI element)
About the family: Vitamin B(1) in its active form thiamin pyrophosphate (TPP) is an essential coenzyme that is synthesised by coupling of pyrimidine and thiazole moieties in bacteria. The previously detected thiamin-regulatory element, thi box was extended, resulting in a new, highly conserved RNA secondary structure, the THI element, which is widely distributed in eubacteria and also occurs in some archaea.
Source: RNAcentral